AAUAUUGGACAAUGGGGGCAACCCUGAUCCAGCAAUGCCGCUUGUGUGAAGAAGGUCUACUGAUAAAAAAGCACUUUAAGUUGGACGGAAUGGCUUUAGGUUAAUACCCUGAAGUUUUGACGUUACCAACAGAAUAAGUACCGGCUAACUCUGUGCCAGCAGCCGCGGUAAUACAGAGGGUGCAAUCGUUAAUCGGAAUUACUGGGCGUAAAGCGCGCGUAGGUGGUUCAGUAAGAUGGGUGUGAAAUUCCCGGGCUUAACCUGGGAACUGCUUUCAUAACUGCUGAGCUAGAGUACGGUAGAGGGUAGUGGAAUUUCCUGUGUAGCGGUGAAAUGCGUAGAUAUAGGAAGGAACACCAGUGGCGAAGGCGACUACCUGGACUGAUACUGACACUGAGGUGCGAAAGCGUGGGGAGCAAA
RNAcentral lists this ribosomal RNA (420 nucleotides) under uncultured bacterium. Its description in RNAcentral is "partial 16S ribosomal RNA". It matches the Rfam family "Bacterial small subunit ribosomal RNA", at positions 360 to 772 of the family's 1533-position model. The record is from RNAcentral.